This is a long non-coding RNA of Trichoplusia ni (cabbage looper), 381 nucleotides long. RefSeq lists it as uncharacterized. The record is from RefSeq and is a predicted model, not a curated record. NCBI's taxonomy places the organism in Eukaryota, Metazoa, Arthropoda, Insecta, Lepidoptera, Noctuidae. The transcript is spliced from 3 exons.
GCCGCCGCCCCCCGCGCCGCCGCCGCCGCGCUCGCGGAGCACCUGCCAUAAGCCAACACGCUUAAUAACUAGCCCCACGCCACGAGACCAGACUGACUGAUAAACGGGGCCUCUAGCCUACUGCGAAAGUCAUGUUCAGCUCAGCCUUUGACAACUUAGACGACUGCCUGGACAAGGUCUUUCUGGGCACUCACGGACUACAAUCAAAGCUAUUUCAUAACGUUACCUACGCGGGCCUACGCAGUGUAUUUAUUGCGGCAAGUUGUAAAUUGUUCGACACUCCAGUAAUUCAAAUGUUUUUAACAGAUGAUGUAAGGUGCAAACACAACAAAGAUUACGAAAAAAAAACAAAUAUAAUUCAAAAAUAGACUCACGCUCACC